RNAcentral lists this ribosomal RNA (1434 nucleotides) under uncultured Bacteroidaceae bacterium. Its description in RNAcentral is "bacterial SSU rRNA". It matches the Rfam family "Bacterial small subunit ribosomal RNA". RNAcentral also lists the same sequence under 1 other name. The record is from RNAcentral. Lineage: Bacteria; Pseudomonadati; Bacteroidota; Bacteroidia; Bacteroidales; Bacteroidaceae.
AACGAACGCUGGCGGCGUGGAUAAGACAUGCAAGUCGAACGAGAGAAUUGCUAGCUUGCUAAUAAUUCUCUAGUGGCGCACGGGUGAGUAACACGUGAGUAACCUGCCCCCGAGAGCGGGAUAGCCCUGGGAAACUGGGAUUAAUACCGCAUAGUAUCGAAAGAUUAAAGCAGCAAUGCGCUUGGGGAUGGGCUCGCGGCCUAUUAGUUAGUUGGUGAGGUAACGGCUCACCAAGGCGAUGACGGGUAGCCGGUCUGAGAGGAUGUCCGGCCACACUGGAACUGAGACACGGUCCAGACACCUACGGGUGGCAGCAGUCGAGAAUCAUUCACAAUGGGGGAAACCCUGAUGGUGCGACGCCGCGUGGGGGAAUGAAGGUCUUCGGAUUGUAAACCCCUGUCAUGUGGGAGCAAAUUAAAAAGAUAGUACCACAAGAGGAAGAGACGGCUAACUCUGUGCCAGCAGCCGCGGUAAUACAGAGGUCUCAAGCGUUGUUCGGAAUCACUGGGCGUAAAGCGUGCGUAGGCUGUUUCGUAAGUCGUGUGUGAAAGGCGCGGGCUCAACCCGCGGACGGCACAUGAUACUGCGAGACUAGAGUAAUGGAGGGGGAACCGGAAUUCUCGGUGUAGCAGUGAAAUGCGUAGAUAUCGAGAGGAACACUCGUGGCGAAGGCGGGUUCCUGGACAUUAACUGACGCUGAGGCACGAAGGCCAGGGGAGCGAAAGGGAUUAGAUACCCCUGUAGUCCUGGCAGUAAACGGUGCACGCUUGGUGUGCGGGGAAUCGACCCCCUGCGUGCCGGAGCUAACGCGUUAAGCGUGCCGCCUGGGGAGUACGGUCGCAAGAUUAAAACUCAAAGAAAUUGACGGGGACCCGCACAAGCGGUGGAGUAUGUGGCUUAAUUCGAUGCAACGCGAAGAACCUUACCUGGGCUUGACAUGUAAUGAACAACAUGUGAAAGCAUGCGACUCUUCGGAGGCGUUACACAGGUGCUGCAUGGCCGUCGUCAGCUCGUGUCGUGAGAUGUUUGGUUAAGUCCAGCAACGAGCGCAACCCCUGUUGCCAGUUACCAGCACGUGAAGGUGGGGACUCUGGCGAGACUGCCCAGAUCAACUGGGAGGAAGGUGGGGACGACGUCAGGUCAGUAUGGCCCUUAUGCCCAGGGCUGCACACGUACUACAAUGCCCAGUACAGAGGGGGCCGAAGCCGCGAGGCGGAGGAAAUCCUGAAAACUGGGCCCAGUUCGGACUGUAGGCUGCAACCCGCCUACACGAAGCCGGAAUCGCUAGUAAUGGCGCAUCAGCUACGGCGCCGUGGAUACGUUCCCGGGUCUUGUACACACCGCCCGUCACAUCAUGGAAGCCGGUCGCACCCGAAGUAUCUGAAGCCAACCGCAAGGAGGCAGGGUCCUAAGGUGAGACUGGUAACUGGGAUG